GCGCCUCUAGCUCAGUUGGUAGAGCACCUGACUCUUAAUCAGGUUGUCCGGGGUUCGAGACCCCGGAGGCGCA
This 73-nucleotide transfer RNA is filed under the name Clostridiales bacterium. RNAcentral's name for it is "tRNA-Lys". It matches the Rfam family "tRNA". Rfam says of the family: Transfer RNA (tRNA) molecules are approximately 80 nucleotides in length. Their secondary structure includes four short double-helical elements and three loops (D, anti-codon, and T loops). The record is from RNAcentral. Lineage: Bacteria; Bacillati; Bacillota; Clostridia; Eubacteriales.